Molecule: non-coding RNA, 97 nt
Organism: Mycena vulgaris
Lineage: Eukaryota; Fungi; Basidiomycota; Agaricomycetes; Agaricales; Mycenaceae
Source: the annotation of a GenBank genome assembly
GGUUCUAUGGUGUAGUUGGUUAUCACUUCUGUCUAACAUCGCGUUGAAUUACGUAAUGGGACACAGGCGGUCCUCAGUUCGAACCUGGGUGGAAUCA